GACGAACGCUGGCGGCGUGCUUAACACAUGCAAGUCGAACGGAAAGGCGCUGCUUUUGUGGGGUGCUCGAGUGGCGAACGGGUGAGUAACACGUGAGUAACCUGCCCUUGACUUUGGGAUAACUUCAGGAAACUGGGGCUAAUACCGGAUAGGAGCUACUGCUGCAUGGUGGGGGUUGGAAAGUUUCGGCGGUUGGGGAUGGACUCGCGGCUUAUCAGCUUGUUGGUGGGGUAGUGGCUUACCAAGGCUUUGACGGGUAGCCGGCCUGAGAGGGUGACCGGCCACAUUGGGACUGAGAUACGGCCCAGACUCCUACGGGAGGCAGCAGUGGGGAAUAUUGCACAAUGGGCGGAAGCCUGAUGCAGCAACGCCGCGUGCGGGAUGACGGCCUUCGGGUUGUAAACCGCUUUCGCCUGUGACGAAGCGUGAGUGACGGUAAUGGGUAAAGAAGCACCGGCUAACUACGUG
This 468-nucleotide ribosomal RNA is filed under the name uncultured bacterium. RNAcentral describes it as "partial 16S ribosomal RNA". It matches the Rfam family "Bacterial small subunit ribosomal RNA", at positions 28 to 507 of the family's 1533-position model. The record is from RNAcentral.